This 157-nucleotide ribosomal RNA is filed under the name uncultured bacterium. Its description in RNAcentral is "partial 16S ribosomal RNA". It matches the Rfam family "Bacterial small subunit ribosomal RNA", at positions 355 to 509 of the family's 1533-position model. The record is from RNAcentral.
UGAGGAAUAUUGGUCAAUGGGCGGAAGCCUGAACCAGCCAAGUCGCGUGAGGGACGACGGUCCUAUGGAUUGUAAACCUCUUUUGCCGGGGAGCAAAGCCGACCUUGCGAGGUUGGAAGGAGAGUACCCGGAGAAAAGCAUCGGCUAACUCCGUGCC